UAACACGUAGGGGGCAAGCGUUGUCCGGAUUUAUUGGGCGUAAAGAGCUCGUAGGUGGUUCGGUAAGUCGGGUGUUAAACCCCCAGGCUCAACCUGGGGACGCCACUCGAUACUGCUGUGACUAGAGUCCGGUAGGGGAGCGUGGAAUUCCUGGUGUAGCGGUGAAAUGCGCAGAUAUCAGGAGGAACACCAGCGGCGAAGGCGGCGCUCUGGGCCGGUACUGACACUGAGGAGCGAAAGCGUGGGUAGCAAACAGGAUUAGAUACCCUGGUAGUCCACGCCGUAAACGUUGGGCACUAGGUGUGGGGUCUCUUCAACGGACUCCGUGCCGUAGCUAACGCAUUAAGUGCCCCGCCUGGGGAGUACGGCCGCAAGGCUA
Molecule: ribosomal RNA, 379 nt
Filed under: uncultured bacterium
Lineage: Bacteria
Description: bacterial SSU rRNA
Rfam family: Bacterial small subunit ribosomal RNA
Source: RNAcentral